UUCCCUUAGUAAGUGCGACCGAACAGGGAAAAGUCCAGCGCAGAACCUCCCGGGCCACCCGGCCUGCGGCGGAAUGUUGCGUAAAGGGAAAGGUCGUAUUCAAGCCCUGCAACCACACGAACUCUAAGUAAGCCACGAAUAGGCUGUCCCAACUAACGGCGGGAAGAACUCCACGGAGGGUGUAAGACCCGUGUGGGCGUGUGUCAAUGUUGCAUGGGUUCGGCCUCUUCUCUGAGAGUCGCGUUGCUUGGGCAUGCAGCGCUAAGCAGGUCGUAAACUCGAUCUAAGACUAAAUAUUUCCACAAGACCGAUAGCAAACAAGUACCUUGAGGGAAAGUUGAAAAGCACUCUGAAGAGAGAGUCAAAAGACCGUGAAACCGUUCAGAGUAUAAGCCCAUGGCGCUUGGAAGGCUCCCGCAUGUUAAGCAAAACGCAUUGAUUCGUCUUAGGAUUCGUCUUUGUGCUUAGAUUGGUCCGCUGAAGUUGUUCGUUAGGUCGUGAGCGUUAACUCGUUUCUGGCCGUCACCCGGGAAGGCAGCCGCGUUCGAAUUUGUUUUCUUGCGUGCUCCUCUUGUAUAUGGAUGGACGUUCUAGUCAGUGGCUAUCGCUGCGGUACAAGCCCACCACAGUUCGUUGUGAGGUCACCCGCAGGCUCAAACUGUCGAUCGUGUGUUCGACCCUUGCCGCUAAGGACGUUACUGUGUUGGAGAGAGACAGGCAUUCUCGUCUUCUCUUUUCCAUCCUCUCCGAGGCAUGUGUGUCGGGCCAGGCGACGAACCGAGUAUAUCCUGGUAUGAUCCUCGUGCGACGAUCUGAUUCUGACCGAGUUCUAAUUGCAAAUAGCGUGCUCACGUGUCGAGCAGCAAAGCUACCGUUUGGUCCUCUGGGCGAUGACAUAGUGUCGACAAGAUCUCGGUGAUGCAAUCUAUGACACUCGCGUGGUGAUAAGUCCGGCACCAUCGGUCACGUCUCGAAACACGGGCCAAGGAGUAUAGCAUGUGUGCAAGUCUAAGGGUGUCACAAAACCCGCAGGCGUAGUGAAAGCAAAGCUGUGGCGAGUACGCUUCGGCACUCUCGUCAGCUAAGUGGCAGUUUACUGUUGCCUGGCUUAAGCCGAGCUGAUCCUGUUCAGUUGACUCAAUUGUCUCAAGACAGGCGCAGGCUCCGGGCUCACCUAACAACACUGGUUUGGGAUUUAUUUCGGGCUGUGUUGUGAGCACCGUGGAGCAUGCAUGCUAUAACCCGAAAGAUAGUGAACUAUGCCUGGCGAGGGCGAAGCCCCAGGAAACUGGGGUGGA
RNAcentral lists this ribosomal RNA (1298 nucleotides) under Abyssorchomene gerulicorbis. Its description in RNAcentral is "partial large subunit ribosomal RNA". It matches the Rfam family "Eukaryotic large subunit ribosomal RNA", at positions 75 to 871 of the family's 3401-position model. Lineage: Eukaryota; Metazoa; Arthropoda; Malacostraca; Amphipoda; Lysianassidae. The record is from RNAcentral.